AUCUGUGUCCAUACCACCCUGAAUGCACCUGAUAUUGGAAGCUAAACAGGGUCCUGCCUGGACAGUCUUGGAAGGGACAUAGAAG
Molecule: ribosomal RNA, 85 nt
Filed under: Cebus imitator (Panamanian white-faced capuchin)
Lineage: Eukaryota; Metazoa; Chordata; Mammalia; Primates; Cebidae
Source: RNAcentral